RNAcentral lists this long non-coding RNA (566 nucleotides) under Coturnix japonica (Japanese quail). RNAcentral describes it as "lncRNA (ENSCJPG00005017185.1)". Lineage: Eukaryota; Metazoa; Chordata; Aves; Galliformes; Phasianidae. The record is from RNAcentral.
UUUCUCUUCUUAGGGAUACUCAAUGACAGAAAAUGAAUCAGAAGAAAGAACUUCAGAAGAGCUGGGAAGGAUAGGAGAGAAAAAUGAAGUGAACUUUAAGGCAGAAGAACAGAGGCAAUGAAGGUGUGACAAGACUAAGACUGAGAUGGAGAAAGACAGAACCAGAGUUUCGGGGCUCUUCAGGACACCACAUCCCCAUGACCCUGCAGAAGAAACUGGAAAAACACCACUUCAACCUGUGCUUGGAUACAAGAUACCGAUUACAUAAAGCAUGCAUGUUGAUGGCACGACAUCAGCGCAUUGACAGACAGUUUCUCCUAGACAACGUGCCUCCUGCACAUCAAACUGAUGACUGUCUUCUGGUCAAGAACACGUUCAGCUGGGAGUCUGACCAGUUGCAGCAUGUUACUGGCAGGAGGCACCGCUCGAGUGGGUUCCUGUGUCCAACUCACACCGCAGUGCCGGAGCACCGACCUGUACAUACUGCACGGCCACAACGCCCCUCUCCAUUCUUACUGUCAGAACUCUUCUGGUCUGCAGUUGUGUCUAUGUUCUGUAGCAAAUGA